Molecule: RNA transcript, 1720 nt
Organism: Ziziphus jujuba (common jujube)
Lineage: Eukaryota; Viridiplantae; Streptophyta; Magnoliopsida; Rosales; Rhamnaceae
Exons: 9
Source: RefSeq, a predicted model, not a curated record
AACGUAACGAACCCUUCUUGAUCGCUCGCCUUCUGUCCCUCCCUGCGGACUAAAACACUGACACGUCCUCUGUUCUCUCUCUCUCUCUCUCUCUCUCUCUUCUCUGUCAUAUGUAUGCUCUGUGAGCUUUUCGCUUCUAUCGAGCGGUGAAAAUGCGAUUUCUGAGAUCUCCGAGCAUCGGAGUUUGGUUUUCCGACGCGAAUUACAGCUCGCUUUGCCCGUCCAUGAAGGUAGGGCUGAGGUGCUUCGUCACCACUUGUAGAGCAGUGGUCUUGCCACACUUCGGUGGGCCUGAAGUGCUGGAGCUCAGGCCUAAUGUUAAUAUUCCUGAUCUCAAGCCCAAUGAGGUUCUCGUCCGCGCUCGUGCUGUCUCCAUUAAUCCUCUUGAUACAAGAAUGCGUUCAGGCUAUGGUCGUUCCAUAUUUGAACCUCUUUUACCUCUCAUAUUGGGCCGUGACAUUAGCGGUGAAGUUGCGGCUGUAGGGGCUUCAGUUCGGACACUGAAUGUUGGGCAAGAAGUUUUUGGUGCGUUGCAUCCAACAGCCAUAAGGGGUACUUAUGCAGAUUAUGCAAUUCUAUCAGAAGAUGAACUUGCUCCAAAGCCAGUAUCAAUUACACAUGUGGAAGCAAGUGCCAUUCCGUUUGCUGCAUUGACUGCAUGGCGUGCUUUAAAAAGUACUGCUAGGAUAGCUGACGGACAACGGGUAUUAGUGGUCGGUGGUGGAGGAGCAGUAGGUUUUGCUGCAAUUCAGCUUGCAGUAGCUGCUGGGUGUCAUGUUACAGCUACCUGUGGUAGUCAAAGUAUCGAUAAAAUAUUGGCAGCUGGUGCUGAGCAGGCUGUUGACUAUAUUGUUGAGGACAUUGAAUUGGCAAUAAAGGGGAAGUUUGAUGCUGUCUUAGACACCAUUGGUGUACCAGAGACAGAAAGAGUAGGCAUCAAUUUUUUGAACAGAGGUGGACACUACAUGACACUUCAGGGUGAGGCAGCAUCAUUGGCAGAUAGGUAUGGACUCGGUGUCGGGCUUCCAAUAGCUACAGCUAUUCUAUUGAAAAAACAGUUUCAGUACCGGUAUUCUCAUGGAAUAGAAUACUGGUGGACUUAUAUGAGAGCUGAUUCAGAAGGUUUAGAUGAGGUUCGAAGGCUUUCUGAAGCAGGAAAGUUAAAAAUACCUGUAGAGAAGACAUUUCCAAUUGCACAAGUAAGAGAAGCUCACGAGGCAAAAGAUAAAAAGCAAAUUCCAGGAAAAGUUGUGCUAGAACUCGACUGAAGAAUAUUUUACCAGCUUGCACUACUGUUGUCUGUUUUCUGCUAUGUAAAGGGAAACAAAAAAGAUGCCACAGACUCUGGUUAGAAAGUGGUUGGCUUUAACUGACAUAUUGUUCCAGCUUCCAGGAUCAGCCAGGGGCUUCUCUAGUGCACUAACGUGGAGGACCCAUCACACUCCAUCUCAAUGAAAAUGAUGUGUCACAAUCUUGCUUCGUGUGUGAUUUUGAUGCAAAAAGGAAAGAGGGAAAAAAAUAGGGGAAAAAGGAUCGAGAAUUGUUUCAUUGUUUGGGAAAAAAGGUAAUGCAAAAGUUAAAAAAAUGACUUGUUGAGAGAGAAAAUGUUGCCCACUUUUUUUUUUUUUAAUCUUUGUGAUGAAGGAAUGACAUGCGAAAGCGAUGUGUUGGCCUAUUUUGGUUGGUGAUAAAUAAAAUUGAUAUAUAAAUUGAGACUUUA